This 481-nucleotide ribosomal RNA is filed under the name uncultured bacterium. Its description in RNAcentral is "SSU rRNA". It matches the Rfam family "Bacterial small subunit ribosomal RNA", at positions 26 to 518 of the family's 1533-position model. The record is from RNAcentral.
AGGACGAACGCUGGCGGCGUGCCUAACACAUGCAAGUCGAACGGAAAGGCUCUCUUCGGAGAGUACUCGAGUGGCGAACGGGUGAGUAACACGUGGGUAACCUACCUCUGACUGGGGGACAACCGGUGGAAACGCCGGCUAAUACCGCAUGACGUGCGGCGUCACAAGGCGCCGUACCAAAGUGGCUUCGGCAGUCGGUCAGAGAUGGGCCCGCGGCGGAUUAGCUUGUUGGUGGGGUAAUGGCCUACCAAGGCGACGAUCCGUAGCUGGUCUGAGAGGACGAUCAGCCACACUGGAACUGAGACACGGUCCAGACUCCUACGGGAGGCAGCAGUGGGGAAUAUUGGACAAUGGGCGAAAGCCUGAUCCAGCAAUGCCGCGUGUGUGAAGAAGGUCUUCGGAUUGUAAAGCACUUUCGACGGGGACGAUGAUGACGGUACCCGUAGAAGAACGCCCCGGCUAACUUCGUGCCAGCAGCCGC